This 136-nucleotide non-coding RNA is filed under the name Neotoma lepida (desert woodrat). RNAcentral's name for it is "Eukaryotic large subunit ribosomal RNA". It matches the Rfam family "Eukaryotic large subunit ribosomal RNA", at positions 818 to 952 of the family's 3401-position model. The record is from Rfam by way of RNAcentral. Lineage: Eukaryota; Metazoa; Chordata; Mammalia; Rodentia; Cricetidae.
GGAAGACAGUGAACUAUGACUGGGCAGGGAGAAGCCAGAGGAAACUCUGGUGGAGGUCCUUAGUGGUGCUGAUACACAAAUUGGUCUUCUGACCUGAGUAUAUGGGGCAAAAGACUAAUGAAACCAUCCAGUAGCU